GUCAUGUCUUCGAGCCCAUCUUCCUGUGGCGCUGCUAUGGAAUUUGGGCCGCGCCGGAGCUUCCGGUUCAGGGCGCGGCUGGAAACGGCCGCACCUUCCGCAUUUGAAAAGGAGACAUGGC
RNAcentral lists this non-coding RNA (121 nucleotides) under bovine gut metagenome. RNAcentral describes it as "Moco (molybdenum cofactor) riboswitch". It matches the Rfam family "Molybdenum/Tungsten riboswitch aptamer (Moco RNA motif)", at positions 6 to 126 of the family's 135-position model. The record is from RNAcentral.